GCCGUCGUUGCUGCUUUCCGAACUUGUGCUACGAUGCAUGGAGAUUCGUGGCUGGCUUCCGGUCUUGAAAUGACAGCAAGUGAUAAUCCUGACUGGUUGCGUCGGGAGCUCUUCAGGGACUGUUUAGCGGCAGUCAGCUAGAGGUUUGGGGAGCAAUUUGGUGAAAGUACCGCGGAAAUACUCAUGGAGCUCCUCGUCCUUAUGCCUCUCAUCUAGCUGGUGCGGAUCUUUACGUGCAUAUGAUGGAGCACGGCAGAAUGACAGCAAUGCCAUUCUACGUCCGUGACGGCUAUUUGGUAAUGCGAUGCUUUUCUAGUUUCUUUGAGAAGUCUCGUGAACUCAAAACAUCCGUUGAUUGAAAGCUGAAGAUACAAAGAGAGUGGAACUUACAGACAGGACAUUCUGUGCAAUAAAUGGACUUUACUUCUCGAGCAGGUCUACCAGAUUCGGAUACAGUUGCGUGCUCUCUUGACAAACACAGAGCUUAAAGAAGUAGUAGACUUACGAAACUGUACUUCUGCCUGAGAACUAUCAGGCUUUCUUUUAAGGUUUUCGAGAUCUGGUCAGUCUGCUGCCUCAAA
Long non-coding RNA from Selaginella moellendorffii, 581 nucleotides. RefSeq lists it as uncharacterized. NCBI's taxonomy places the organism in Eukaryota, Viridiplantae, Streptophyta, Lycopodiopsida, Selaginellales, Selaginellaceae. The transcript has 6 exons. The record is from RefSeq and is a predicted model, not a curated record.